This 103-nucleotide small nuclear RNA is filed under the name Spinacia oleracea (spinach). The record is from RNAcentral. Lineage: Eukaryota; Viridiplantae; Streptophyta; Magnoliopsida; Caryophyllales; Amaranthaceae.
GUCUCUUCAGAGACAUCUGAUAAAAUUGGAACGAUACAGAGAAGAUUAGCAUGGCCCCUGCGCAAGGAUGACAUACACAAAUCGAGAAAUGGUUCAAAUUGUU